GGGGAUUUAGCUUAGUGGUAGAGCGCUUGCCUAGCACGCACAAGGCCCUGGGUUCGGUCCCCAGCUCCG
RNAcentral lists this transfer RNA (69 nucleotides) under Rattus norvegicus (Norway rat). It matches the Rfam family "tRNA". Rfam says of the family: Transfer RNA (tRNA) molecules are approximately 80 nucleotides in length. Their secondary structure includes four short double-helical elements and three loops (D, anti-codon, and T loops). The record is from Rfam by way of RNAcentral. Lineage: Eukaryota; Metazoa; Chordata; Mammalia; Rodentia; Muridae.